This 1065-nucleotide small RNA is filed under the name uncultured Pelagibacterales bacterium. RNAcentral's name for it is "bacterial SSU rRNA". The stretch from base 1 to 658 matches the Rfam family "Bacterial small subunit ribosomal RNA", at positions 867 to 1533 of the family's 1533-position model. The record is from RNAcentral. Lineage: Bacteria; Pseudomonadati; Pseudomonadota; Alphaproteobacteria; Candidatus Pelagibacterales.
CACCGCCUGGGGAGUACGACCGCAAGGUUAAAACUCAAAUGAAUUGACGGGGACCCGCACAAGUAGUGGAGCAUGUGGUUUAAUUCGAAGAUACGCGCAGAACCUUACCAACACUUGACAUGUUCGUCGCGGCUCUAAGAGAUUAGAGCUUUCGGUUCGGCCGGACGAAACACAGGUGCUGCAUGGCUGUCGUCAGCUCGUGUCGUGAGAUGUUGGGUUAAGUCCCGCAACGAGCGCAACCCUCACUUUUAGUUGCCAUCAUUUAGUUGGGCACUCUGAAAGAACUGCCAGUGAUAAGCUGGAGGAAGGUGGGGAUGACGUCAAGUCCUCAUGGCCCUUACGUGUUGGGCUACACACGUGCUACAAUGGCAUUUACAAUAGGAAGCAAGAUGGCGACGUCAAGCAAAUCCUAAAAAGAUGCCUCAGUUCGGAUUGUACUCUGCAACUCGAGUACAUGAAGCUGGAAUUACUAGUAAUCGCGGAUCAGCGCGCCGCGGUGAAUACGUUCCCGGGUCUUGUACACACCGCCCGUCACACCAUGGGAGUUGGUUCUACCUUAAGGCAAGGUUUUAAACCCUUGACCACGGUAUAGUCAGCGACUGGGGUGAAGUCGUAACAAGGUAGCCGUAGGGGAACCUGCGGCUGGAUUACCUCCUUUCUAAGGAUGAAUAAGAAUUCGUUCUUAUUCUAAAUAAUAUAACAGGUUAAUGUUGACCGUCCUCAUUUCUCUUCUUGAAAUAGUGUUUCUCUCUUCUACGUAGGGGCCGGUAGCUCAGUUGGUUAGAGCACACCCUUGAUAAGGGUGGGGUCGAAAGUUCGAGUCUUUCUCGGCCCACCAAAUUUACUGGGGGAUUAGCUCAGCUGGGAGAGCGCCUGAUUUGCAUUCAGGAGGUCAGCGGUUCGAUCCCGCUAUCCUCCACCACGAAACACUUAGUUAUUUUAAUUGUGAAAAUUUUUUAUAUUAUCAAUAUCUAUAUCCGAUUGUUCGAAUAGAUGAACAAUCAAUAAAUAUUCGAAAAGAUGAAUAUUUAAUAAAAAUUUGAUUCAACACAGAAUUUUUUUCUG